GAUGAAGAACGCAGCGAAAUGCGAUAAGUAAUGUGAAUUGCAGAAUUCCGUGAAUCAUCGAAUCUUUGAACGCACAUUGCGCCCCCUGGCAUUCCGGGGGGCAUGCCUGUCCGAGCGUCAUUUCUGCCCUCAAGCACGGCUUGUGUGUUGGGUGCGGUCCCCCCGGGGACCCGCCCGAAAGGCAGCGGCGACGUCCGUCUGGUCCUCGAGCGUAUGGGGCUUUGUCACUCGCUCGGGAAGGACCUGCGGGGGUUGGUCACCACCAUAUUUUUACCACGGUUGACCUCGGAUCAGGUAGGAGUUACCCGCUGAACUCAAGCAUAUCAAUAAGCGGAGGA
Molecule: unclassified non-coding RNA, 338 nt
Filed under: soil metagenome
Description: partial contains 5.8S ribosomal RNA, internal transcribed spacer 2, and large subunit ribosomal RNA
Rfam family: 5.8S ribosomal RNA (bases 1-120)
Source: RNAcentral